RNAcentral lists this ribosomal RNA (233 nucleotides) under uncultured bacterium. Its description in RNAcentral is "partial 16S ribosomal RNA". It matches the Rfam family "Bacterial small subunit ribosomal RNA", at positions 118 to 354 of the family's 1533-position model. The record is from RNAcentral.
UCGGAACGUGUCCUGUUNUGGGGGAUAACUGAUCGAAAGAUCAGCUAAUACCGCAUGAGACCUGAGGGUGAAAGCGGGGGAUCGCAAGACCUCGCGCGACAGGAGCGGCCGAUGUCUGAUUAGCUAGUUGGUGAGAUAAAAGCUUACCAAGGCGACGAUCAGUAGCUGGUCUGAGAGGAUGAUCAGCCACAUUGGGACUGAGACACGGCCCAGACUCCUACGGGAGGCAGCUG